AAAUAAAAAAAAUCGAUGUCUUGGGUUGCUGUGCGUUGGACACAGCAGCCCAAGACAAGACACAGUAGCCCAAGACGUUUUUUUUU
This is a non-coding RNA of Paramuricea clavata, 86 nucleotides long. NCBI's taxonomy places the organism in Eukaryota, Metazoa, Cnidaria, Anthozoa, Malacalcyonacea, Plexauridae. The record is from the annotation of a GenBank genome assembly.